GUAACAGUAUUUGAAAUUUUUUGACAUUAAGUCGUCUGCUUGUUGUAGAGUCGAGAAGAGAGCUGUUCCAUGUCUACCUAGUCAUCUUCGCUAAUAACUUGAACUCAUCACUUUGUGAUGCUGAUCAGCUGAGGGCGCUCUUUGCAUUCCCUGAUUCAGUCAACGCAACUCAGUUGCAUGAGGCUCUGUGUAGUAAUGGCGUCCUUGGCUCGUUGGAGUAUCUGGCAGCUACUAAGGUCUUCAAGCAGAUCAUGGAUGAGGUUACAGCCUUCCAGCAAGAUACCUUCAACAUCAGUUCAUUUGUUACUGACAUAGAUAACCUUCUUAAGCAUCUAACAUCCGUGGGUAAUUACAAUGUGAACACAAACAUCAACCCUGAGCCAUUUCUUCCGAUACUUCAGAUGGACUGGAACCAGGUCAUCUCAGAGAGUGCUAUUCUGCAGAGACUGGAGGUACCUUAUGCAGCAGCUCCACCUAGACACAGAUGCCAUCACCACCCUGCUGGCCAGUGAACUGACCAGUAUCCCUAAAGGUGACCGCCACCAGAUGGACCAAGUGGCUGAGCUUAUCGUUAACAUCACAAACUGCAUCGAACUGGAUUGGUUUAUUCCGUUCCAGUCUGAGCGGGAAAUGGAAAGAGAGGCACAGAGAUUACAUAUCGAUGGCUGUCUGUUUGCAGUGGGGUUUAUCUGACAUGGCAAAGACAUACAAAGAUUAAGAAGAAGAAGAUGAUGAUGAUCAAGAGGAGGAAUAUGAGAAUGUAAAGAAUGGGAUGAAGAACUCAUCCUUAGAGAGGUAGAGGCUGAGCUAAGGCGUAGAGAAGGAAUGGAUACAGAUGGUGAUGAGGUCGGAAGUCAAGGCUCGGACAUUCCACUAGAGUCGCUGGAGUGUGAAGAAAUUGAAACUGAAGAUAGAAUGGUGACCAAAGAACAGAUAACUGAUAUUAAGGAACAAAUCUUUUAAAAUAGUUUGUGUAAAGUCCAGGGGCCAAUUUCAUCAAACUGUUUAAAGCACAAAUUGAUUGGGGCACCAUUCACAACAAAGUAAACUACAAUUUCAUCAAACUGUUAUGCUUGACAAAGUUUAUUGCUAUAAAGCACAAAUUGAUUGGGGCACCAUUCACAACAAAGUAAACUACAAUUUCAUCCAACUGUUAUGCUUGACAAAGUUUAUUGCUAUAAAGCACAAAUUGAUUGGGGCACCAUUCACAACAAAGUAAACUACAAUUUUGACCGGUAAUCUUUUUCUGUUAAGCAAUACUUUUCUGUACUUAGCAAGGGUUUGUGUCGACUGGCCAGUUGAUUGAAAAGCUUUUUGAAAGGAACAUUACAGAAUUGGUAAGAACAAAAGUGUGGGUUGCCGCGUUUGAAGGGACAUGAGAUAGAAAGAAAGUUUAGCUCAUAAUUAUGACGCGUAUUUAUAAUGUAUGUAAUAAUUACGCCUUCUAUUUACUUAUAUCUUGAAUUGUUUGCUUGGCACAAGUCAUAAAUGACUUACACAUGCUAAAUCAUAAAGAGAUCAAAUAAUUGUCUUUAUUAUUCUGCCAUAAUGUUAUAGCCUUUUUAGAUCUUUUUAGAGGUCACAAAACAAUUUUAACACAAUUUCUCCAGAAAUUGUAUUUUUAAGCUAGAUUUUUCACUUGAGCUUGUUUGUUUCAGUAAACUAAGCAUCUGAGUUUGUGUAUAUCCAUUAUUGUUCAGUUCUCUAAUAACAAACUUUACCUGGCAAGUAGAUACAGACAUGGUGUUACCGCUAACCAAAUAUAUUUUGAUACCUUACCAUGCAAUGCCUCAAAUCCUAUACAUUAUAAUUCUACUGUCAUUAUUCGUACCGAAUCUUUAACGAAAUGUUGUGAGAAAAUCAUAGGUACCAUAAUGAGAGAGCUAGGAAAUGUCAACAUUGGACCCCCAAAAAAUGGCAAUUUGAAUCAGUUUCAGAGAUGAUACUUGAUAAUGGUUGCAGAAACGUUAUGGGUGCAUUUUAUAGUGAUAGAAAGUUGACAGCAAUAGCUUUGAAAAAAUAUAAAAGAUUAUUCUUAACUCACCUGAAUCUUUAGAGAAGAAAUUAAUUGUGUAUAAAUAAAACCAUGGCGACUAAAAGAAAUAUUAAUCUUGUGAUAUUUUAAUAACACUUUAUGAAUAAACAUCAUCAUUACAUUCUACAAUACUUCUAAAUUUGAAUUAAAAAAGAAAUCGUUUUGUAUAACAAUUAUUGCACUCUUGCUGGCUGGGCGAUGCCAUAAUAAAGUCAAAUAUUAUUAGAACCAUCAAUAUUUGAGAAAACUAUGUUGACUAUUAGGGCCAAUUCUUGUUGAAUAAUUUUAAGCGGCCAUUUUCAAAAAGUAAAAGUAUACAAUAUUUUCAUGAUAGAGCUACAGCCAGCUCACCCCCACCCCCUAACGAAAAAAAGUUAUACACAAUUUUGGUAGGCCUAC
Long non-coding RNA from Asterias rubens (European starfish), 2434 nucleotides. RefSeq lists it as uncharacterized. Lineage: Eukaryota; Metazoa; Echinodermata; Asteroidea; Forcipulatida; Asteriidae. The record is from RefSeq and is a predicted model, not a curated record. The transcript is spliced from 5 exons.